GUCGUACGAGAGUUUUUAACUCAAGUGGCGGACGGGUGAGUAACACGUAAGAAUUUGCCUUUAGGAGGGGGAUAACAACUGGAAACGGUUGCUAAUACCCCAUAUGCUUUCGAGUGAAAUGGUUUUUCCGCCUAGAGAGAAGCUUGCGGCUGAUUAGCUUGUUGGGGAGGUAAUGGCUCACCAAGGCGACGAUCAGUAUCUGGUUUGAGAGGACGAUCAGACACACUGGAACUGAGACACGGUCCAGACUCCUACGGGAGGCAGCAGUGGGGAAUUUUCCGCAAUGGGCGAAAGCCUGACGGAGCAAUACCGCGUGAGGGAUGACGGCCUAUGGGUUGUAAACCUCUUUUUUCAGGGAGGAAUAAAUGACGUGUACCUGAGGAAUAAGCAUCGGCUAACUCCGUG
This 405-nucleotide ribosomal RNA is filed under the name uncultured bacterium. RNAcentral's name for it is "bacterial SSU rRNA". It matches the Rfam family "Bacterial small subunit ribosomal RNA", at positions 61 to 507 of the family's 1533-position model. The record is from RNAcentral.